This is a non-coding RNA of Cyprinus carpio (common carp), 369 nucleotides long. NCBI's taxonomy places the organism in Eukaryota, Metazoa, Chordata, Actinopteri, Cypriniformes, Cyprinidae. The record is from the annotation of a RefSeq genome assembly.
AUGACAAAUCUGCAGGCUGAAGACACUGCCGUUUAUUACUGUGCCCGCGAAAACACAUCUGUUGGGAGUCAGACACUGACUGAGUCUGAGUCAGUGGUCAUUAAACCUGGAGGAUCUCACAAACUCACCUGUACAUUCUCUGGAUUUAGUAGUGACCCAGACUUAGCUUGGAUCAGACAGACUGCAGGAGGAGGUCUGGAGUGGCUGGCAUACAUCUCAUCUGGUAGUGGUACUAUAUACUACUCUCAGUCUGUUCAGGGACGCUUCACCAUCUCCAGAGACAACAGCAAGAAACAGAUGUAUCUGCAGAUGAAUAAUAUGAAGAAUGAAGACACUGCUGUAUAUUAUUGUGCAAGAGAGACACAGUAA